This is a long non-coding RNA of Diceros bicornis minor, 886 nucleotides long. RefSeq lists it as uncharacterized. The record is from RefSeq and is a predicted model, not a curated record. The transcript has 3 exons. NCBI's taxonomy places the organism in Eukaryota, Metazoa, Chordata, Mammalia, Perissodactyla, Rhinocerotidae.
CUCGUGCAGGCCCCGUGGUGCCUCUGUGUGUCUUCUUUCUGCCAACAGCCCCCUGCCCACUCCCUCCCCAGGCCCUGUGGAGUCUUGAGGGCCUGGAGUUUGUCUUGUUUUCAAGGCGUAAAAACAGGCCAGUGUGUGGAGUUCAAUGGGACCCACAGGUCCUGUGAGAUCCAGGCCUGCUGCCUCAUGGAGAGCAACACUGUGCCGGUGUAAGUGUCCCCGACACCCAGGGCAGGUCCCAGGACCAGCAGAGCCUGCCCCUGACCUCCCCCACCACAGGAAGCCCCUGCUGCUCCAGGCUGAGAACUCCACACUGUUCAUCAAAAACACUGUCACCUUCAGCAAGUUCAACUUCUCCAGGUGAGCAGGGUGGGUCCUGGCUGCCCCAGAUCCUCCUUGUCCCCUGCCUGGCCCGACCCCCCAGCCCCACCCCUUCUCAGGUUCAAUGCCUUGGAGACUUGGGACACCAUUUCUUUCAAGCACUGCUGCUGUGACCCAGGCUUCAGCCCCAGUGCCCCGUGUUCCACAUCGGGGACCUCGUGGCCACAGCUGGAGGGGGCGGGGCUGUGGACAUCCAUGUCCUCUGGGAUUGUGACCUGGACGCCGGGACCUCUGACUGCUGCCCCACGACUCCUUCCAGCUGCGGAAGAGGAGCUACAACUUCAGAGUGAGCUGGAUAUAUGUAGAUAGAUUUCACAGGAAACCAUUGGAAAGUAAGUGGCAGAUAUCUGGACACUUACCCUCUCAAUGCUGUCCUGAGAAUGAGGACCUUCCGCAGGUGACCACUGGCCUCUUGUCACACUCAGGAAUCUGACAUUGGCAGAUAAAUCUAAUAUGUAAAUUUCCCCAGCUGUGCCAAUAAUCCUCCAGAUCUUUUUAUUUUCUG